UGGGGAAUAUUGCACAAUGGGCGCAAGCCUGAUGCAGCCAUGCCGCGUGUAUGAAGAAGGCCUUCGGGUUGUAAAGUACUUUCAGCGGGGAGGAAGGUGUUGAGGUUAAUAACCUCAGCAAUUGACGUUACCCGCAGAAGAAGCACCGGCUAACUCCGUGCCAGCAGCCGCGGUAAUACGGAGGGUGCAAGCGUUAAUCGGAAUUACUGGGCGUAAAGCGCACGCAGGCGGUCUGUCAGGUCGGAUGUGAAAUCCCCGGGCUCAACCUGGGAACUGCAUUCGAAACUGGCAGGCUAGAGUCUUGUAGAGGGGGGUAGAAUUCCAGGUGUAGCGGUGAAAUGCGUAGAGAUCUGGAGGAAUACCGGUGGCGAAGGCGGCCCCCUGGACAAAGACUGACGCUCAGGUGCGAAAGCGUGGGGAGCAAACA
RNAcentral lists this ribosomal RNA (427 nucleotides) under uncultured bacterium. RNAcentral's name for it is "partial 16S ribosomal RNA". It matches the Rfam family "Bacterial small subunit ribosomal RNA", at positions 355 to 774 of the family's 1533-position model. The record is from RNAcentral.